RNAcentral lists this ribosomal RNA (253 nucleotides) under uncultured bacterium. RNAcentral's name for it is "partial 16S ribosomal RNA". It matches the Rfam family "Bacterial small subunit ribosomal RNA", at positions 524 to 776 of the family's 1533-position model. The record is from RNAcentral.
UACGAAGGGGGCUAGCGUUGCUCGGAAUUACUGGGCGUAAAGGGCGCGUAGGCGGAUAUCUAAGUUGGGGGUGAAAUCCCGGGGCUCAACCUCGGAAUUGCCUUCAAAACUGGAUAUCUUGAGUUCGGGAGAGGUGAGUGGAACUGCGAGUGUAGAGGUGAAAUUCGUAGAUAUUCGCAAGAACACCAGUGGCGAAGGCGGCUCACUGGCCCGAUACUGACGCUGAGGCACGAAAGCGUGGGGAGCAAACAGG